RNAcentral lists this ribosomal RNA (87 nucleotides) under Kutzneria buriramensis. The record is from RNAcentral. Lineage: Bacteria; Bacillati; Actinomycetota; Actinomycetes; Pseudonocardiales; Pseudonocardiaceae.
GGUCCCAUUCCGAACCCGGAAGCUAAGCCCUCCUGCGCCGAUGGUACUGCACUCGUGAGGGUGUGGGAGAGUAGGACGCCGCCGGAC